Long non-coding RNA from Bubalus bubalis (water buffalo), 748 nucleotides. RefSeq lists it as uncharacterized. The record is from RefSeq and is a predicted model, not a curated record. The transcript is spliced from 2 exons. NCBI's taxonomy places the organism in Eukaryota, Metazoa, Chordata, Mammalia, Artiodactyla, Bovidae.
CGCGCUGCACUGUCUCUGGGUUUGCCUGAUUCGGACAUUUCACAUCAACGGAAUUGACGCCGAAAGCUUGGCCUCCAGGCACCGGUGCCAAACUGAACCUCAGACAGAGUUUGGGGCAAAGCAGAAAAGAAGAGCUUUACUGCUUUGCCAGGCAAAGGGGGCCACAGCGGGCUCAUGCCCCUCAAAACUGUGUACCCCAACCUGGGGUUUUAUAGCAAUGGUUCGAGGGGAGGGGGUGCUGAUAUUGAUCGGGGUGUGCAGGGCCUUCAUUCCCUGAGUCUGGCCCCGGGUGACCUCAUGAGGAGCUUCUGUGGUUAUCGACUCAUGACCUUCUUUCUGGAAUGAGGAAGGCUUCAUCAGGUUCAUCUGCGUUGCAAUGUCUGCCACAGCCUUUUAUGGCCGAGUGAUAUUCCAUCCUGGGAUGGACUGCGUUUACCCACCCACCCAUUGCGGGGCAUCUAAGCUGUUUCCUCCCUUUGCUUCUGGGAAUACAGCUUCUCUGAGCAGGUAUGUGGUAUGGCGUGUGGUCUGUAGGGCUCUGAGGCUGGGGUGCCUUUCCAGGCUCCCGGCCCCCCUGCCAGCUACAGGUGACCUGCCACUAACCUUUUCUGUACCAAGUACCCAGUGGGUAAUCAGAGGGAGCCCAUGGGCCCCUUCUCAGAUAACCUGUUCCAGCACAUACUGUGAGAUUAAAACGGAAAUCAGCUGUCCUCAAACAUGACUAUUUAAAUGUUUUUAAAUCAUGGUA